RNAcentral lists this ribosomal RNA (514 nucleotides) under uncultured microorganism. RNAcentral describes it as "bacterial SSU rRNA". It matches the Rfam family "Bacterial small subunit ribosomal RNA", at positions 9 to 505 of the family's 1533-position model. The record is from RNAcentral.
GAGUUUGAUCUUGGCUCAGGAUGAACGCUGGCGGCGUGCCUAAUACAUGCAAGUCGAGCGAACGGACGAGAAGCUUGCUUCUCUGAUGUUAGCGGCGGACGGGUGAGUAACACGUGGAUAACCUACCUAUAAGACUGGGAUAACUUCGGGAAACCAGAGCUAAUACCGGAUAAUAUUUUGAACCGCAUGGUUCAAAAGUGAAAGACGGUCUUGCUGUCACUUAUAGAUGGAUCCGCGCUGCAUUAGCUAGUUGGUAAGGUAACGGCUUACCAAGGCAACGAUGCAUAGCCGACCUGAGAGGGCGAUCGGCCACACUGGAACUGAGACACGGUCCAGACUCCUACGGGAGGCAGCAGUAGGGAAUCUUCCGCAAUGGGCGAAAGCCUGACGGAGCAACGCCGCGUGAGUGAUGAAGGUCUUCGGAUCGUAAAACUCUGUUAUUAGGGAAGAACAUAUGUGUAAGUAACUGUGCACAUCUUGACGGUACCUAAUCAGAAAGCCACGGCUAACUACG